This 506-nucleotide ribosomal RNA is filed under the name uncultured Pseudomonadota bacterium. RNAcentral describes it as "bacterial SSU rRNA". It matches the Rfam family "Bacterial small subunit ribosomal RNA", at positions 355 to 851 of the family's 1533-position model. The record is from RNAcentral. Lineage: Bacteria; Pseudomonadati; Pseudomonadota.
UCGGGAAUCUUGGUCAAUGGGGGAAACCCUGAGCCAGCAACGCCGCGUGAGGGAUGAAGGCCCUCGGGUCGUAAACCUCUGUCGGGAGGGAAGAAAGGAUUCCGGAUCAAUACCCCGGGAUACUGACGGUACCUUCAAAGGAAGCGCCGGCUAACUCCGUGCCAGCAGCCGCGGUAAUACGGAGGGCGCGAGCGUUGUUCGGAAUCAUUGGGCGUAAAGCGCGUGUAGGCGGCUGGGCAAGUCGGAUGUGAAAGCCCGGGGCUCAACCCCGGAAUUGCAUUCGAAACUGCCUGGCUCGAGUCUCGGAGAGGAGGGCGGAAUUCCCGGUGUAGAGGUGAAAUCCGUAGAUAUCGGGAGGAACACCAGUGGCGAGGGCGGCCCUCUGGACGAUGACUGACGCUGAGAUGCGAAAGCGUGGGGAGCAAACAGGAUUAGAUACCCUGGUAGUCCACGCCGUAAACGAUGAUCACUAGGUGUAGCGGGUACUCAUUCCUGCUGUGCCGCAG